This is a long non-coding RNA of Oreochromis niloticus (Nile tilapia), 262 nucleotides long. RefSeq lists it as uncharacterized. The record is from RefSeq and is a predicted model, not a curated record. The transcript has 2 exons. Lineage: Eukaryota; Metazoa; Chordata; Actinopteri; Cichliformes; Cichlidae.
UGCUAUGGACAUUUCUCUGUCGUGCAGAGCACUGUCUGCAAUGCGGGGUCUUUGAAGGAUGGGCAGGUGGCCCAAGUAUGUGUUUGCAUGUGUAGAAGAGGGGACACUCUACAAACUUGUUUUGUAAAAACUUUCUCAGAUGAUUGAAGUCUUGAGAGAACAACAAACAGCGGUCCUCUGAUUUUGAUUUGGUUGUGCCAGUCUGCCUUACCUGUGGUGAAACCUCCCUGACCACAUGAAGAAAGAGUCAUCUGGAUUCAAA